AACGAACGCUGGCGGCGCGCCUAAUACAUGCAAGUCGAGCGAGAAGGUGUAGCAAUACACUUGUAAAGCGGCGAACGGGUGAGGAAUACAUGGGUAACCUACCCUCGAGUGGGGAAGUAACUAGCCGAAAGGUUAAGCUAAUACCGCAUACGAUUCCAGGACUUCGGUCCUGGAAGGAAAGACACUACCGUGGGUAGUGCGCUCCUGGAUGGGCUCAUGUCCUAUCAGCUUGUUGGUGAGGUAAAGGACUCACCAAGGCUUCGACGGGUAGGCUGGUCUGAGAGGACGAUCAGCCACACUGGCACUGCGACACGGGCCAGACUCCUACGGGAGGCAGCAGUAAGGAAUAUUGCGCAAUGGGCGACAGCCUGACGCAGCGACGCCGCGUGGGGGAGUGAA
Molecule: ribosomal RNA, 399 nt
Filed under: uncultured bacterium
Lineage: Bacteria
Description: bacterial SSU rRNA
Rfam family: Bacterial small subunit ribosomal RNA
Source: RNAcentral